UACGGAGGAUCCAAGCGUUAUCCGGAAUCAUUGGGUUUAAAGGGUCCGUAGGCGGUUUAAUAAGUCAGUGGUGAAAGCCCAUCGCUCAACGGUGGAACGGCCAUUGAUACUGUUAAACUUGAAUUAUUAGGAAGUAACUAGAAUAUGUAGUGUAGCGGUGAAAUGCUUAGAGAUUACAUGGAAUACCAAUUGCGAAGGCAGGUUACUACUAAUGGAUUGACGCUGAUGGACGAAAGCGUGGGUAGCGAACAGGAUUAGAUACCCCGGUAGUCC
RNAcentral lists this ribosomal RNA (273 nucleotides) under uncultured bacterium. RNAcentral describes it as "partial 16S ribosomal RNA". It matches the Rfam family "Bacterial small subunit ribosomal RNA", at positions 524 to 796 of the family's 1533-position model. The record is from RNAcentral.